This 579-nucleotide ribosomal RNA is filed under the name uncultured bacterium. Its description in RNAcentral is "partial 16S ribosomal RNA". It matches the Rfam family "Bacterial small subunit ribosomal RNA", at positions 355 to 932 of the family's 1533-position model. The record is from RNAcentral.
UGGGGAAUUUUGGACAAUGGGCGAAAGCCUGAUCCAGCAAUGCCGCGUGUGUGAAGAAGGCCUUCGGGUUGUAAAGCACUUUUGUCCGGAAAGAAAUCCUUGGCUCUAAUACAGUCGGGGGAUGACGGUACCGGAAGAAUAAGCACCGGCUAACUACGUGCCAGCAGCCGCGGUAAUACGUAGGGUGCAAGCGUUAAUCGGAAUUACUGGGCGUAAAGCGUGCGCAGGCGGUUUGCUAAGACCGAUGUGAAAUCCCCGGGCUCAACCUGGGAACUGCAUUGGUGACUGGCAGGCUAGAGUAUGGCAGAGGGGGGUAGAAUUCCACGUGUAGCAGUGAAAUGCGUAGAGAUGUGGAGGAAUACCGAUGGCGAAGGCAGCCCCCUGGGCCAAUACUGACGCUCAUGCACGAAAGCGUGGGGAGCAAACAGGAUUAGAUACCCUGGUAGUCCACGCCCUAAACGAUGUCAACUAGUUGUCGGGUCUUCAUUGACUUGGUAACGUAGCUAACGCGUGAAGUUGACCGCCUGGGGAGUACGGUCGCAAGAUUAAAACUCAAAGGAAUUGACGGGGUCAUAGCUG